This 652-nucleotide ribosomal RNA is filed under the name uncultured bacterium. RNAcentral describes it as "bacterial SSU rRNA". It matches the Rfam family "Bacterial small subunit ribosomal RNA", at positions 274 to 980 of the family's 1533-position model. The record is from RNAcentral.
CUAACAGGACGACGUAUUCUGUGAGAAAGAUACCCCAAUGAGUUAGGACCGCCAGAUCCUACGGAGCAGCAGUGGGAAUCUGCCAUGACGAAGCUGACGCAGCACGCGCUGCGGAUGACGCUCGUGUGUAAACGCUUCAGCAGGACGAAAUGACGUACUGCAGAGAGCCCGCUACUACGUGCAGCAGCGCGUAUACGUAGGGGGCAGCGUGUCCGGACUCAUUGGGCGUAAAGAGCUCGUAGGCGGUUCAGUAAGUCGGGUGUGAAAGCUCCGAGCUCAACUCGGAGAGGCCACCCGAUACUGCUGUGACUUGAGUCCAGUAGAGGAGCGUGGAACUCCUGGUGUAGCGGUGGAAUGCGCAGAUAUCAGGAAGAACACGUGCAGCGAAGGGCGGCGCUCUGGGCUGGAACUGACGCUGAGGAGCGAAAGCGUGGGUAGCAAACAGGAUUAGAUACCCUGGUAGUCCACGCCGUAAACGUUGGGCACUAGGUGUGGGGAGCCGUCAACGCUCUCUGUGCCGUAGCUAACGCAUUAAGUGCCCCGCCUGGGGAGUACGGCCGCAAGGCUAAAACUCAAAGGAAUUGACGGGGGCCCGCACAAGCGGCGGAGCAUGUUGCUUAAUUCGAGGCAACGCGAAGAACCUUACCUAGGU